RNAcentral lists this ribosomal RNA (1394 nucleotides) under Enterococcus thailandicus. Its description in RNAcentral is "bacterial SSU rRNA". It matches the Rfam family "Bacterial small subunit ribosomal RNA". Lineage: Bacteria; Bacillati; Bacillota; Bacilli; Lactobacillales; Enterococcaceae. The record is from RNAcentral.
UUGCUCCACCGAAAGAAAAGGAGUGGCGAACGGGUGAGUAACACGUGGGUAACCUGCCCAUCAGAAGGGGAUAACACUUGGAAACAGGUGCUAAUACCGUAUAACAAUCGAAACCGCAUGGUUUUGAUUUGAAAGGCGCUUUCGGGUGUCGCUGAUGGAUGGACCCGCGGUGCAUUAGCUAGUUGGUGAGGUAACGGCUCACCAAGGCCACGAUGCAUAGCCGACCUGAGAGGGUGAUCGGCCACAUUGGGACUGAGACACGGCCCAAACUCCUACGGGAGGCAGCAGUAGGGAAUCUUCGGCAAUGGACGAAAGUCUGACCGAGCAACGCCGCGUGAGUGAAGAAGGUUUUCGGAUCGUAAAACUCUGUUGUUAGAGAAGAACAAGGAUGAGAGUAACUGUUCAUCCCUUGACGGUAUCUAACCAGAAAGCCACGGCUAACUACGUGCCAGCAGCCGCGGUAAUACGUAGGUGGCAAGCGUUGUCCGGAUUUAUUGGGCGUAAAGCGAGCGCAGGCGGUUUCUUAAGUCUGAUGUGAAAGCCCCCGGCUCAACCGGGGAGGGUCAUUGGAAACUGGGAGACUUGAGUGCAGAAGAGGAGAGUGGAAUUCCAUGUGUAGCGGUGAAAUGCGUAGAUAUAUGGAGGAACACCAGUGGCGAAGGCGACUCUCUGGUCUGUAACUGACGCUGAGGCUCGAAAGCGUGGGGAGCAAACAGGAUUAGAUACCCUGGUAGUCCACGCCGUAAACGAUGAGUGCUAAGUGUUGGAGGGUUUCCGCCCUUCAGUGCUGCAGCUAACGCAUUAAGCACUCCGCCUGGGGAGUACGACCGCAAGGUUGAAACUCAAAGGAAUUGACGGGGGCCCGCACAAGCGGUGGAGCAUGUGGUUUAAUUCGAAGCAACGCGAAGAACCUUACCAGGUCUUGACAUCCUUUGACCACUCUAGAGAUAGAGCUUCCCCUUCGGGGGCAAAGUGACAGGUGGUGCAUGGUUGUCGUCAGCUCGUGUCGUGAGAUGUUGGGUUAAGUCCCGCAACGAGCGCAACCCUUAUUGUUAGUUGCCAUCAUUUAGUUGGGCACUCUAGCAAGACUGCCGGUGACAAACCGGAGGAAGGUGGGGAUGACGUCAAAUCAUCAUGCCCCUUAUGACCUGGGCUACACACGUGCUACAAUGGGAAGUACAACGAGUCGCGAAGUCGCGAGGCUAAGCUAAUCUCUUAAAGCUUCUCUCAGUUCGGAUUGUAGGCUGCAACUCGCCUACAUGAAGCCGGAAUCGCUAGUAAUCGCGGAUCAGCACGCCGCGGUGAAUACGUUCCCGGGCCUUGUACACACCGCCCGUCACACCACGAAAGUUUGUAACACCCGAAGUCGGUGAGGUAACCUUUUGGAGCCAGCC